RNAcentral lists this long non-coding RNA (954 nucleotides) under Homo sapiens (human). RNAcentral's name for it is "non-protein coding lnc-LRRTM3-14:1". The record is from RNAcentral. Lineage: Eukaryota; Metazoa; Chordata; Mammalia; Primates; Hominidae.
AACUUCAUAUGUCGACAUUCUAAUGCCCUAGGUGAUCAUAUUAGGAGGUGAAGGCUUUUGGAAAGUGAUUAGUUCAAAAGGGCAAGGCAAUCAUCUUUAGAAUUAGUGCUUUAUGGAAAAGAAAGUUAGCUAGCUUCUUCCACUAUUUCAGGACACAGCUAGAAGACACUGUCUAUGAGGAACAGGCCCUUACCAGAACUCAAAACUUCUGGAGCCUUGGUCUUGAGCGAAAGAAGUCAAAAACAAGAGGUCUCACCCAUAAUGUGUGAUUUUAUUUAUAUGAAAUGUCCAGAAAAGGCAAAUCUAUAGAGACAGAGAGACAACUAUUGUCUGCCUGAGGCAGAGCGAGGGAGCAAAGAUUAAAAGUUCAUGGGCAUGAGGGAUACAAGAAGGCAAGAAGAUAUAAGGAUAUAGAUACUAAAAUAUUUUCUGGAAAUGAAGUCAUGCCAGAAUAAAAAUAUACAUGCAAAACUACAGUCCAUAGUACCUGAAUUCUUAAACUUUGAACAACAUUCCACUGAUAACACAGAAAUACAAAAGAUCAUCAGAUACUAUUAUGAGCAACUCCAUGCUAACGAACUUGAAAAUCUAGAGGAAAUGCAUAAAUUUCUGAAAACAUACAACCUACCAUGAUUGAAACACAAAGAAAUAAAAAACCUGAGCAGACCGGUAACAAGUAAUGAGAUAGUAGCAGUAAUGAAGUCUCGCCCCCAAAAAAGUCCAGGAUCAGAUGGCUUCACUGAUUAUACUAAAUUAUACCAAACUUUCAAAGAGGAACUAACACCAAUUUUCCUUAAAGUAUUCCAAAAAUUUGAGGUAAUUCUCUCCUGUGUCCCUCCCACAACAUGUGGGAAUUCUGGGAGAUACAAUUCAAGUUGAGAUUUGGUGGGGAAACAGCCAAACCAUAUCAUUCCACCUUUGGCCCCUCCAAAUCUCAUGUCCUCAUAUUUCAAA